This 660-nucleotide ribosomal RNA is filed under the name uncultured bacterium. RNAcentral's name for it is "bacterial SSU rRNA". It matches the Rfam family "Bacterial small subunit ribosomal RNA", at positions 94 to 788 of the family's 1533-position model. The record is from RNAcentral.
AGUGGCGGACGGGUGAGUAACGCGUGAGAAUCUGCCUUGGGGUCGGGGACAACCACUGGAAACGGUGGCUAAUACCGGAUACGCCUUCGGGUAAAAGAUUUAUUGCCCUAAGAGGAGCUCGCGUCUGAUUAGCUAGUUGGUGAGGUAAGAGCUCACCAAGGCAGCGAUCAGUAGCUGGUCUGAGAGGACGAUCAGCCACACUGGGACUGAGACACGGCCCAGACUCCUACGAGAGGCAGCAGUGGGGAAUUUUCCGCAAUGGGCGAAAGCCUGACGGAGCAAGACCGCGUGAGGGAGGAAGGCUCUUGGGUUGUAAACCUCUUUUCUCAGGGAAGAAGCUCUGACGGUACCUGAGGAAUCAGCCUCGGCUAACUCCGUGCCAGCAGCCGCGGUAAUACGGAGGAGGCAAGCGUUAUCCGGAAUUAUUGGGCGUAAAGCGUCCGCAGGUGGCGAUUCAAGUCUGCUGUCAAAGCACGGGGCUUAACUCCGUAAAGGCAGUGGAAACUGAAUAGCUAGAGUGCCGUAGGGGUAGAGGGAAUUCCCGGUGUAGCGGUGAAAUGCGUAGAGAUCGGGAAGAACAUCGGUGGCGAAAGCGCUCUACUGGACGGCAACUGACACUCAGGGACGAAAGCUAGGGGAGCGAAUGGGAUUAGAUACCCC